Long non-coding RNA from Neopelma chrysocephalum (saffron-crested tyrant-manakin), 307 nucleotides. RefSeq lists it as uncharacterized. The transcript is spliced from 3 exons. Lineage: Eukaryota; Metazoa; Chordata; Aves; Passeriformes; Pipridae. The record is from RefSeq and is a predicted model, not a curated record.
CUAGUGCCACCAUGGUGUCUAAGCUCAUCAGAGAAACUGCAUGAGGUUGUUGCUACCUUGUGACACUCCAUAGUCGAUCUCGGCCAUAUUUCCUCCAAACAGGUUGGCAGCCAUUUGAAAUGUCUGUGACAUAACACUGGAGCAGUCCUGAAAAUAGCUUGGUUUCACCCCAAACUGCAGAAUCCUGAAACAGAAGCAGCGAAGCAAUCCUGUCACACCAGGUCUUCGUGCUUGGAGCCUGUGAGGAUGGCGGGGGGGAAACGACGACACAAAACCAACCAACCAACGAAAAAGAAGAAAAAGGGGA